CGCUAAGAAGCUAAAUAUUAGCGUUAGCCUUUUAAGCUAAAAUAUGGUGUUUCACUCACCCUUAGCGG
This 68-nucleotide transfer RNA is filed under the name Monognathus jesperseni. Its description in RNAcentral is "tRNA-Lys". It matches the Rfam family "tRNA". From Rfam's summary of the family: Transfer RNA (tRNA) molecules are approximately 80 nucleotides in length. Lineage: Eukaryota; Metazoa; Chordata; Actinopteri; Anguilliformes; Monognathidae. The record is from RNAcentral.